RNAcentral lists this ribosomal RNA (852 nucleotides) under uncultured bacterium. RNAcentral's name for it is "bacterial SSU rRNA". It matches the Rfam family "Bacterial small subunit ribosomal RNA", at positions 56 to 918 of the family's 1533-position model. The record is from RNAcentral.
UGCAAGUCGAACGGAAAGGCCCUGCUUUUGUGGGGUGCUCGAGUGGCGAACGGGUGAGUAACACGUGAGUAACCUGCCCUUGACUUUGGGAUAACUUCAGGAAACUGGGGCUAAUACCGGAUAGGAGCUCCUGCUGCAUGGUGGGGGUUGGAAAGUUUCGGCGGUUGGGGAUGGACUCGCGGCUUAUCAGCUUGUUGGUGGGGUAGUGGCUUACCAAGGCUUUGACGGGUAGCCGGCCUGAGAGGGUGACCGGCCACAUUGGGACUGAGAUACGGCCCAGACUCCUACGGGAGGCAGCAGUGGGGAAUAUUGCACAAUGGGCGGAAGCCUGAUGCAGCAACGCCGCGUGCGGGAUGACGGCCUUCGGGUUGUAAACCGCUUUCGCCUGUGACGAAGCGUGAGUGACGGUAAUGGGUAAAGAAGCACCGGCUAACUACGUGCCAGCAGCCGCGGUGAUACGUAGGGUGCGAGCGUUGUCCGGAUUUAUUGGGCGUAAAGGGCUCGUAGGUGGUUGAUCGCGUCGGAAGUGUAAUCUUGGGGCUUAACCCUGAGCGUGCUUUCGAUACGGGUUGACUUGAGGAAGGUAGGGGAGAAUGGAAUUCCUGGUGGAGCGGUGGAAUGCGCAGAUAUCAGGAGGAACACCAGUGGCGAAGGCGGUUCUCUGGGCCUUUCCUGACGCUGAGGAGCGAAAGCGUGGGGAGCGAACAGGCUUAGAUACCCUGGUAGUCCACGCUGUAAACGGUGGGUACUAGGUGUGGGUCCAUUCCACGGGUUCCGUGCCGUAGCUAACGCUUUAAGUACCCCGCCUGGGGAGUACAGCCGCAAGGCUAAAACUCAUAGGAAUUGACGGGG